CUCUACACCCGGCCGCGCGCCGCGCCCCCUCCGCGCCCUCUUUUUCCUCUCGCAGUCAGCCAGCCAACCUUGCCCAAGUUUGACUUGAAGAAGUUGUAGGGAGUGUUUGGGCGAGUGACACCUCGGGGUAAGAAGGAGAGACACAUUUUUUUGCCCCCUCCCCACGUUAGUAAAGGUACAGUGUGGCCAGAUGCGGGGUGUUUGACCCUCAAAGUGGCGCGUGUGACUAUCUCGCGCGUUCCGGGGAGGUAUAGGAAGCGCGCACACCCCUCGAAGCCACGGAACAAGACACGGCUCAACACUGCACACCUUCGAAGCUCGGCGGCAGCAGAGCGGAGCCCGACAGGACUGGGCCAUGCGGACCCAGCGGCCAGCGCCGCGCCUUGGGAGUUCCCUCCGCGAAGGGGGUGAUCAAGCGCCCCCAGACGUGGAGCCCGCCCAUCCUCGCGGACUUGGACCUGAGGCCGGAACAUUGAAUGACUUUACAAGGAGAGCACUCCGACACCUCAACAGCUCACGCCUCACAAGCUUAGCUGUGGCACCGACUCUACUCCCACUUACCCCCUGUGAAACCCGAGGCAGACAAUUCACUUCUCUGAGCCCUUAUCUCCUCAUCUGCAAAAUGGAAAUAAUGAGGGCGAAGGGGGCAGUUUUUAGGCUGAGAGGAAGCAUGUCCAGGGCUGACACGAGGUAGGUAGGCAGAAGCAAUCUUACUCUUUUUUUCUUUAAUUUAGAGACAGGAUCUCACUCUGCUGCCCAGGCUGGAGUAUUGCCCAGCCUGUUGCCCCAGCUGGUACAAUCAUAGCUCACUGCAACUUCAAACUUCUGGGCUCAAAUGAUCCUCCCGUGUCAGCCUUCUAUUCACCGGAACUACAGGCACACACCACCACGCCCAGCUAUUUUUUUUAUUUUUUAGAGACAGGGUCUCUCUAUGUUGCUCAGGCUGAUCUUGAACUCCUGGCCUCAAGCAAUCCUCCCACCUCAGCCUCCCAAAGCACUGGGAUUACAGGCUUGAUCCUCAGAACCUGGUCAUUUUACUAUUAAAAUUACAUGUCAGAAUCUCCCAUUUCGCUUCUUAAACUCCCAGCAGUAUUCCACUCCACCCCUUUCAUUAGUCAUAAAAGUGAGGUGUCUGCAUUCAGGCAUCCCAGGAUCCUUUGCAACUCCAGCUCAGCUAAGCAAGAGAGGGGAACUUCCCAGGCAGGGGCACAGCAGAGAGGGAGGUGACAGCAGAGGUUAGGUGGCCUCACUACACUGAACAUCACCCAAGAGGAGGCAGGGGAUCUGCUCACAGCCAGAUGGUAUGGAGAAGCAGGCGGGGCUUGAAGAUGCCUGAGUGUGGGUCUCUAGGUCUUUCUCUGGUGGAGACCGUGAAGUAAGGUCAGCUUCUCAGGCCACAUCCCAGGGAUAAUGGUCCUUGCAUGAGCCACCUUCUGUCCCCACUGAUAAAGCAGUAUAUUUAGGUACCAGAGGAGACUUGGCAUAAACCUAGGAGCAGUCCCCAUGCAUCCGUAUUUUCUCUUAUCCCAUAGAACACAUGAGCCCUCAACUGGUCCUAAGUUGACCCCAAUAAGAUAACCUAAUCAAAACAACAACAAUAAAAGAAUCUCAGCUUCUCAGCUGAAAGAGGGAAGAGGAGAUAGUCCUCUUGGCAUCUCUUUCACUUGACUGAGUUCCCAUCUCUUCUCUUCCUCCCAGAACCUCCUCCCUAAGCCCUCCCCUCAUCUCCCUCCUCUCAGGGGUCCCUGGAAUGCCUCCAUCCCUUAUUGUCUGUCCUUAAAAUCUUAAAGGGAAACCAGGAAGGAGAGAAGGAGAGAGACUAUGGGAAUCUCAUCCCUGGUUCUGAUUAAGCUUCAAUUAGAAAUAAAAUAUGUCAAUCACUCCUCCUGGAAGGGGUUCCUGCUGUCGGGGCUGGUUAUGCAAAGCACUCCAAGGUGUGUGGGGAUAAUCAAUUAGGUCAGAGGAGGGAAAGUGUGGCACUGCUUCCCUCAUUAUCUGCGUGGAGCUGGGGAGCGGGGGAGCAUCCCGGAGCCAGGGAGCCGGAGGAGAAUGAAAUUAUCUCCCUAAGUGAUUGUCCACCUCUGGGACCAGCAUAUUAAUGGUUUCCAAUUGAAUCUCUUUCUAGGGGAAUACAGGAAGGGGGAGGUGGGGUCUACCUAGAAAACAACAUGGAAGGACCAGAGGGCAGGCGCAACGGAAGUCACUCACCUGUCCCAGGUGAGGAAUGAGGACAAGGCAGGGUCCCCACCUACCAGGUGGGUGUUCUCUGAGCACACUGAGGACAGCCGGGCUCAGAGACUCCACUGCCUGAGUUUUGCAAGGUUGGCCAUAGGGAUUGAAUGCUUGGGUAAGAAUUGGAUGUCAGACAUUUUCUGUUUUAGUUUUAUUGGGAGUUUUUGCCGGGGACUUGCUUUGGGCCUAAUUGUUUGUAUCCUUCUAGAAAUGUCCUCUGGAUCCUACAAUUUCUGGUUGCAGGUACCCUUCACCCACUUCGAGUGAAAAUGGACAAUUGUUUGUAAAAAUUGUGUCUGUGAUGAACUAACACCAGCUUGAGUGGGGGCAGGUCUCAUACUCUCUCUAGGCCCACUUUUGACAUCUGUGCAAUGGAGGGUUUGGAUUAGAUGAAUUUAUCCAAGCUUUCUUCCAAAUCCAGUGUUGUCUAGGAUUAGGCAUAAAGGAAAGAACUAUGAGUUCAAAGAUAAUCGUUGGGGGUGAGGGGGCCCUUUGACCUCUCUGGAUACUGCCUCUUGAUCCUAAUUCGCUGCUGUCCUUGGAUUCAGCCAGCCAACUUGACCAAUUAAAAAUGCCUGUCUGGCGUAGUGGCUCAUAUCUGUAAUCCCAG
Molecule: long non-coding RNA, 2842 nt
Filed under: Homo sapiens (human)
Lineage: Eukaryota; Metazoa; Chordata; Mammalia; Primates; Hominidae
Description: HSALNT0231365
Source: RNAcentral